UACACUCUAAAUCUAUGUGUUCUAAUAUAGAACACUGGACGCGUCCAUACGUUCUGCCACAGAAUACGAAUGUUCUAAUUCGUGCAGCACGUGUUCUAUUGCUGAACGCCUGUGAUCUGUUGUAGAACGCGUGUGUUCUCUCCUGGGAGAAGUCCAUGCACAUUAGCAGAGAUUAUGUGCUCAAUAUUGUUAGACAAAUUUAAAUUCGACCAUCAUAUUUGUGUUUUCGGAAUAUUUAUUUUUGAGAAGAAGAGAGGCUGGUAGAUUGGUAAGCCAAACAGAAAAUGUGUAUAAGAAGGGUUAUAUUUUGAGUUUGAUGAAUAAUAAAUAGUUUAUAAACAUGGCAUACUUUGUGUUAAUAUAACUCAUAUGUAGCCUGAAUAAAUACAAGAAACAUUACUGAAAUACAGCUCAUUGCUAAUACAUGGAAAUAACUUGCUUGCAUUGGGGACAUUUACGUGUAUCAGAACACUGGCAUUCUGAUGGCUAAUUUUAGCUGGAUCUUUAAUGGGUGCUCUGGAACAUAUACGGUCUAUUAGCUGAACGCCUGCGUUCUCUCCUAGAACGCGUGUGUUCUGCUGUGUUCUAUAAUGUUAUAUGCAAGAACACGUGUUCCAUUAAUAGAACAUCGGUGUUCUGUUUUUCUAACAAGCAUUCAAAGCUGUCCAUGCUCUGUGAUUCACAUCCGUUAUGUGAGAAACUGGCGUGACAUCGCAUGUAUUUGGCGCUACAAUUUCCUAUGAUCUGAGGUGUGUCUAUGGUAAGUAUCCAUCUAGGAAUACUUUUGUUUCAUAUUUAAUACGUACCUAAAAUAAUGUAAUAUUUCGGCGAUAUAUUCAUAUGCUGAUCGCAAGCGAAAUAAAACCGGCCCCUUACGAAACGCAUAGCAGACGACAUAUUACUCGCCAUUUUGACCGUCAUUUCUGCCAUUGUUCCACUCGCUUUAUUUACAAAUUAUGAGAUGAAAUUCCAAUCCAAAUUGCAAUUGUCACUUUUUGAACGUUUCCGUUUAUUUGAAUGAUGUUCAAAUAAAAUGAAUAUAUAUUUCAGGUUCUAUAUGAAUCGCCUGAAAGUGCGAAGCGGGCUACAUGCAACAAAUCUCUGAACAUCUAAUUUGGGAUCCGAGGGCAUGAUCAGCAAGCAUCGACAAAGCAUCGAAAUCAGCAGAGAGUAGUGGUGCAUUGCAGAUAAUCAGUACCAUCCAUGGAAAUUAUUGCACACAGCACACGUCUACACAAAGGAGGAAAAGAAACAAGGUUUUGCAGAUCAAAUAAGAAGGAUGUUGGGGAGUCAUAUUUGACAUGAAGUUUCCUGAAGCCUGCGAUGGUCAUGUGGCUGUUACAAACAUCGUCCUUUGGGGAUAUUUACCCACAAGAAACAUCUGCGAAGUACAUGCGCUUCGUGAAAGACUUGAAACUUAAGUUAUCUUAAGUAUGGAAGUAUGCUUCAAUUUGCUACACGACAGUUUGUAAUGUUUCAUGAAGAACUCUGACUCAUAAGUGACUUGAAUAUCCAUGAUCAUCCCAAACAAAUAUAAUAAAGAGUUCAUGGUUGCAGUUCAGAAUUUCGUCCGUGUGAUUUUAUGCCAGAGAAUAUGCAUGGGUGUAUGGUUCAAAUUCUUACACCUUGAAAAACAUCGGGUAAAUUGUAUUCGACACACACGAUGAGUUGUCGUUUCAGUAAUGUGGAAGUACGUGUCCGAGAACGUGUAGUGUUCUGAAUCUCGGUCCAGAACACUUUACAGGCGUUCUAAAAGUGUUACAU
This 1764-nucleotide long non-coding RNA is filed under the name Haliotis rufescens (red abalone). RNAcentral's name for it is "uncharacterized LOC124151202, transcript variant X2". The record is from RNAcentral. Lineage: Eukaryota; Metazoa; Mollusca; Gastropoda; Lepetellida; Haliotidae.